UGCCCUACGGGAGGCAGCAGUGGGGAAUAUUGGGCAAUGGAGGAAACUCUGACCCAGCAAUGCCGCGUGAAUGAAGAAGGUCUUCGGAUUGUAAAGUUCUUUAGUCAGGGAAGAAGUCAAUGACGGUACCUGAAGAAUAAGCUCCGGCUAACUACGUGCCAGCAGCCGCGGUAAUACGUAGGUGGCGAGCGUUAUCCGGAAUGAUUGGGCGUAAAGGGUGCGUAGGCGGCCUGCUAAGUCUGGAGUGAAAGGUACCGGCUCAACC
Molecule: ribosomal RNA, 265 nt
Filed under: uncultured bacterium
Lineage: Bacteria
Description: partial 16S ribosomal RNA
Rfam family: Bacterial small subunit ribosomal RNA
Source: RNAcentral